UGGGGAAUAUUGCACAAUGGGCGCAAGCCUGAUGCAGCCAUGCCGCGUGUGUGAAGAAGGCCUUCGGGUUGUAAAGCACUUUCAGCGGGGAGGAAGGCGAUAAGGUUAAUAACCUUGUCGAUUGACGUUACCCGCAGAAGAAGCACCGGCUAACUCCGUGCCAGCAGCCGCGGUAAUACGGAGGGUGCAAGCGUUAAUCGGAAUUACUGGGCGUAAAGCGCACGCAGGCGGUUGAUUGAGUCAGAUGUGAAAUCCCCGGGCUUAACCCGGGAAUUGCAUCUGAUACUGGUCAGCUAGAGUCUUGUAGAGGGGGGUAGAAUUCCAUGUGUAGCGGUGAAAUGCGUAGAGAUGUGGAGGAAUACCGGUGGCGAAGGCGGCCCCCUGGACAAAGAAUGACGCUCAGGUGCGAAAGCGUGGGGAGCAAACAGG
Molecule: ribosomal RNA, 429 nt
Filed under: Chloroflexota bacterium
Lineage: Bacteria; Bacillati; Chloroflexota
Description: Chloroflexi bacterium partial 16S ribosomal RNA
Rfam family: Bacterial small subunit ribosomal RNA
Source: RNAcentral